GCAAAGAGGCGCCAUGGCAUUGAAGCUCGGAGAAGCCACGACGACACAAUCAAUCGCGGCCGUCGUCCUAGCUCUAAAUCCGCCGACCCAUCAUCUCCCCCACUCACCUCCCGUCCCGGGAGCCCGCAACCGCCUCCACACUUCCAAGGUGGUUCCAGUCCUCGAAGCUUUCGGGCUCGAGAGCCUCGCCUUCGACCCGAGCGGUGGGGGCAUGUACGCUGGCGUCGUCGAUGGCCAGGUCUUGAAGUGGGAGGGUGACGAGUGUGGGCGGGUCAACUUCGCUUUCACUUCCUCUCAAUGAGCGAGGUGACACCGCCGCCAGCAGCGACAGAGACGAUGCCCGGUCGACAGCGAGCUUGGCAGCGUCGCUCGAGAACAAGACGACCGCCUCUCUCCGGCCAGAGACCAACGGCUUCGCUGCUGUCGCCUUCGGCUUUAGGGAUGGGGAAGACGAGCAGAUGCCGGAGACAGAGGAUGCCAUCGGAGGCUCGAGGUGGAAGCCGAUGAGAGAGGGUCAAAAUGAAGAA
Long non-coding RNA from Syzygium oleosum, 527 nucleotides. RefSeq lists it as uncharacterized. The record is from RefSeq and is a predicted model, not a curated record. The transcript has 2 exons. NCBI's taxonomy places the organism in Eukaryota, Viridiplantae, Streptophyta, Magnoliopsida, Myrtales, Myrtaceae.